AACGUAGGUACCGAGCGUUAUCCGGAUUUACUGGGCGUAAAGCGCGUUCAGGCGGUUUGGCAAGUCGGGCAUGAAAUCUCUCGGCUCAACCGGGAGAGGUUGUCCGAUACUGCUGGACUUGAGGGCAGUAGAGGGUGGUGGAAUUCCGGGUGUAGUGGUGAAAUGCGUAGAUAUCCGGAGGAACACCAGAGGCGAAAGCGGCCACCUGGACUGCACCUGACGCUGACACGCGAAAGCUAGGGGAGCGAACGGG
RNAcentral lists this ribosomal RNA (253 nucleotides) under uncultured bacterium. RNAcentral describes it as "partial 16S ribosomal RNA". It matches the Rfam family "Bacterial small subunit ribosomal RNA", at positions 524 to 776 of the family's 1533-position model. The record is from RNAcentral.